GUUAGAUCGGCUCACAAAAUACUUUUUUUCGAAAUAGACGAAUCUUAAGUCUAUAGUGUAGAGACAUUGAGUGAGAGUACAGAUGAUUGUUGGAGAACAUCAGUACUGAGCAUGAUCAUACGAGAGAUCACAUGGAUGUUUACUCACUCGUCAGUGAUCUUCUCAAUACUGUAGUGGUGUGAGUAAUUUUUUAACCUGUGGUGCCUCGACUGCUCAAAAUGGGGUUGUUGUAAUUUGACUGCAUAUAAACAUGAUCUCCUAGCCAUUUGGAUCCUUGUAGUGUAUGUUGGCUAUAGUAGAUUCAAUGUAGGAGUAGGAUGUACACUUAUAAAAGAUCUAUCGAUCUUACUAAAUAAGGAGUAGUCCUAUAGAAUUUGAGAAACCAAAUCUAUAAAUCUAUGACUAUAGCAAGGUGAUUGAUAGAA
This 425-nucleotide long non-coding RNA is filed under the name Elaeis guineensis (African oil palm). RNAcentral's name for it is "long non-coding RNA (EGUI_LNC076122)". Lineage: Eukaryota; Viridiplantae; Streptophyta; Magnoliopsida; Arecales; Arecaceae. The record is from RNAcentral.